GUCCCGCUGCAAAGCUUUCUCUGGUCCUUCUGGGAUCAUCAUCUAGGUAUCAUUGCCUGCCAGACUUCCAUCAUCUCUUGUCAGUCACCGCGGUUGCCUCGUCCACCAGACGCUGUAGUCUCCUUCCGUGGUAUAGUCACCGGCCCUGGAGCAGUGCUAAACCUCCGUGGGGUUCUUCAGGCAGAUUCUCUCCUUUGUUCUAAAGGCAAAGGCCAUGCUGCAGAGCCAGCAGCUAUCUGGCAGUUGCUACUCAGAUCCCAGUCAAUGACUUCUUCUACCAAGGACUGAGAUAACUUUCAUUCCACACACGCACUCUUCAAGUCUUCCUCUGCCACUAACCUUGAUGAUGAAGCAACUUAUU
Molecule: long non-coding RNA, 361 nt
Filed under: Fukomys damarensis (Damara mole-rat)
Lineage: Eukaryota; Metazoa; Chordata; Mammalia; Rodentia; Bathyergidae
Description: lncRNA (ENSFDAG00000030871.1)
Source: RNAcentral